This 230-nucleotide long non-coding RNA is filed under the name Setaria italica (foxtail millet). Its description in RNAcentral is "long non-coding RNA (SITA_LNC000496)". Lineage: Eukaryota; Viridiplantae; Streptophyta; Magnoliopsida; Poales; Poaceae. The record is from RNAcentral.
GAUUCUAAUCUGCCAAGGGGAACGAAAAAGAGACACUCGGGGGUGCCCGUCUGCAUUGGUUCCGUAGUCUGUAAUUUUUCACCAGUGUCCAUCAGUUACAGGACGACGACAUCCCUUUGUCUUGCAAGUGUUUCCGUCCGUGAAUUAAGAUUAUAUUCGGAGCCAAGCUAAUCUCAGUAGCGUAGAUGCUGUAUACAACACCAGUAGCGACAUUAACCUUAAAGAAAAAC